UACAGAGGGUGCAAGCGUUAAUCGGAAUUACUGGGCGUAAAGCGCACGUAGGCGGUUUUUUAAGUCAGAUGUGAAAGCCCCGGGCUCAACCUGGGAAUUGCAUUUGAAACUGGGAAACUAGAGUGUGUGAGAGGGGGGUAGAAUUCCAAGUGUAGCGGUGAAAUGCGUAGAGAUUUGGAGGAAUACCAGUGGCGAAGGCGGCCCCCUGGCACAACA
This 216-nucleotide ribosomal RNA is filed under the name uncultured bacterium. RNAcentral describes it as "partial 16S ribosomal RNA". It matches the Rfam family "Bacterial small subunit ribosomal RNA", at positions 524 to 739 of the family's 1533-position model. The record is from RNAcentral.